AUUGAACGCUGGCGGCAUGCUUUACACAUGCAAGUCGAACGGUAACAGGCCGCAAGGUGCUGACGAGUGGCGAACGGGUGAGUAAUGCAUCGGAACGUGCCCAGUCGUGGGGGAUAACGCAGCGAAAGCUGCGCUAAUACCGCAUACGAUCUAUGGAUGAAAGCGGGGGACCGUAAGGCCUCGCGCGAUUGGAGCGGCCGAUGUCAGAUUAGGUAGUUGGUGGGGUAAAGGCUCACCAAGCCGACGAUCUGUAGCUGGUCUGAGAGGACGACCGGCCACACUGGGACUGAGACACGGCCCAGACUCCUACGGGAGGCAGCAGUGGGGAAUUUUGGACAAUGGGCGCAAGCCUGAUCCAGCAAUGCCGCGUGCAGGAAGAAGGCCUUCGGGUUGUAAACUGCUUUUGUACGGAACGAAAAGGCUCUGGUUAAUACCUGGGGCUCAUGACGGUACCGUAAGAAUAAGCACCGGCUAACUACGUG
RNAcentral lists this ribosomal RNA (482 nucleotides) under uncultured bacterium. Its description in RNAcentral is "bacterial SSU rRNA". It matches the Rfam family "Bacterial small subunit ribosomal RNA", at positions 30 to 507 of the family's 1533-position model. The record is from RNAcentral.